RNAcentral lists this unclassified non-coding RNA (12253 nucleotides) under Haliotis rufescens (red abalone). RNAcentral's name for it is "telomere-associated protein RIF1-like, transcript variant X1". The record is from RNAcentral. Lineage: Eukaryota; Metazoa; Mollusca; Gastropoda; Lepetellida; Haliotidae.
CCGCGAAACCCUUUCAUGGCGGAGUGUUGUACCGCGAAAGGAAAAUAGCAGUAAUACGUUGUCAAUGGAUGAUGUUUGGUGAACGAAGUUAUACAAACGGGUACCUAGGAUACUAAGUUAAUGUCAGAUUAUGAUGGUAGCCGCUUCCACGCCGAGCAGCAUGGAUCUGACAGUCCUCUUGACAACGCUCGAGUCCAAGAAAAGCAAUCUGGAUGAUAAGAUCGAAGCCUACACAACUCUCUCAACACACUUGCGAGAAAAUGAGUUGAGUUUUAUCAGCCUUGACCUGACAAAACAGACUGACCGAGUGUUGUCAGUGCUGAAGAAGGAUGUUCAGAAUGAGUCCAACGCUGUCCGCCAGGGGGCGCUGCAGGUGCUCGGCUUCUGUCUCCACGAUGCAGAAAUAGUCAGGUUCCUGAAUCCGGCCACCAGCUGCGAGCUCCUCACACUGCUGCGACAAUGUGUGGAGAAGACAGAGGACAAGACGACCGCCACUCGGGCACUGUGGUGUCUCAGCAAACAGACUCUAGCUGAAGCCGUUGUCGUCAAGGAGCUGCCGAUGUUGCUGGCCACGUGUGACCUUGCCUUCACCAAGUGGAAGAACCAGUCGACUGCCGUGGAAUACGAAGCCCUCAAUGUUGUCACGAGGCUUGUGGAGCAGACUCCCUCUGAGAUGAAGUCCAGUUGUCUGAAGUGGGCCAAGCUGGUCGUACCUCUUGUUGCUCACCCCGCCAUCAAGAUCCGCGAGAGAAUCCUCCCGCUGCUGGACACGUGUCUACCCUGGAUGGUCGGUGUUAAGGAGCUGAGGACCGGGCUUGUCCAGGACUUCAGAACUAAACUAUGUCUGGAGUUAAAGAAACUAUUCCAUGGCAACGAGAUAUACGUGCUAAAAGUGUGGAGAUUUCUGGUGAAGCUUUUCGGAGAAGAACUCCACCACGGGAGCUUCAUCAACCACAUGCUGCCGCUGGCAGAGCUGGGCUUCAAACACGCCCUGGCCGAGGUGAAAAUAGAGGCCUUCAAGUCCUGGAAACACCUCAUCGACAACUUUGCACUUAAUCCAAGCAUAAUUAGUGACCCAAAGAGGAUAAAACUCAUAAUGCAAGUUUUCAAAAUCAAUAAUGCCAAAGUGGAAAGUGUUGCCAUGGAGAAGCUUCAAAUAUGGUGGCAUUUUGUCAAAGCUCUUGGUCCGAAAAUAUCCCAAAACUUCGACCAGGUGGUGGUUCCGCUGCUCCACUUCUGUAUUGGGGGCAACAGGAACAGCCCUGCCAACUCCAUGACGCCGACAACGCCACACAUGGGUCUGAAGAAUGCUUUGUCCAGUCCUGCCACUCCCCGCCUCAAUCUGACUGUCAGCAGCCCCGGCCUGUCCCGCCCCGUCUUCCCCACACUGCAACUCCGGGGCUGUGACAUCCUCGCCCACGUCCUUGUGUGUCCAAGCAAGAUGUCGGAUCUCCCCAGGGUCAGCUUUUCACUCGAUGGUCUGGCAUGUGAAGUGGUCAGCGGGACGCCCAUGUUCCUGAAACAUGCCUCUGUGAUAGUGUCCAGUAGUCUUGACCUUGUCUGUGCCCAGGGACCUCACAUACCAGAGUCCCACCUGAUGUUCAUUUGGCAGUGUCUGCUGUUCCACCUCCGUUCCGCCAUCGAGUCAUCCUCGCGGUCUGAGAAUAGAGAAGCUCUGUCCAGCUUUCUCGGACACUUCCAGACACUCGUCUUCAGCCAGAGUCUUCCCCCCAAAACUGUCAUGAAACUAUUUCAUCCUGUGUGUAACUUGCCCCAAAAGGCACUGGCAUCAACAGCGUACAACAUCAACAGCGGCAAGGUCGUACGGGGGACACCGGCUCUGUUCCUGUGUGAAGUUCUGCUGGCACCAACCCUUCUCAAAGAUUUGGCCAGCUCAGAAAAUUUCAUCAGCCUGUUUUCGACUCUGAUCAACUGUGGGACCAGUACUGUCACCGGAGUUCUGGAGUUCUGCCAGGCAGUGACCAACGUCGUCAACGAACAGGCUUCCUUCAUCACCAACCCUGACGCUCUCUGGAGGCUCUGGAGCAUCCUCGCCAACACAUUGCAGGAACAUAUUGUCAAGACAAACGAGGUGAAUCAAGGCGACUCCCUGGAAUACAACUUCGACUCCUUGUACACGGUCUUGUUGUUCCCUGUCAAAAACAAACUGGGGACCCGACUGACACAGCCUAUCUGCAAGUCACUGCUGAAGACGUGGGGAGAGUUGUACAGGAGUUUUGCUCGUCUCUCAGCCCUCGUGACAACUGCAGAGGCCAACAUUGCUUGUGAAGAAUUUUGCCAAAAAGUCCUCCAGUGUCUUGAAGACGAGUCGUGGAAGGAGAGCGGAGUGUUGGAGUUCGUGGCUCAGAUGUGUCAGGUUGUGAUUGACAAUGUCGACUUCUCGUCACUUGGGACCGGCAGCGGGUUUGCUCAUGGAGCUUCUCUGAGUCCGUCAAAAUGGAUCAAGCGGAAGAACAAGCCAAUGGAGAAUCUCCAGUCCUUCAUUAAGUUGCUGGUCCACCUGGUGGAGAAUCUCGCGGAGUUGACAGAGUCAGGGGAGACAACUCUCACUGCCAAGCAGAAACCGGCAAAUGUGACUGCAGGUGCCACGCUGCUGGUGGACGUGUUGGCGACGUUGUUCACACACAUCAACGUGUCGACCAUCAUCGCACGGAUGCUGGGGCAGCUGGCCACGCCCACUUCCUGGUUCUUCUCCGCGUCCAGCAGGAAGACGUGCAGCAGGCUCUUUAACGCAGCGUUCAUGCAGAAGGUGGAGAAGCUGUGGCUGGAUAUUUCCACCUGCAUCCAGAGUCGCUACACCAUGCAGUAUGACACGGAGUUCCUGGCGUGUGUGUCGCCGCUGCUGCAGGAGACGUUGUUGCACCCGCGCCGACAGAUCAAGAACCAGUCUCUCAUUCUGUGGAAGGCCACCUUCAGUCACGCAGCCCCGCUCACCUACCCAGAAGAACUCAAGCCCGUGUUGAUGAAGGUGAAGGAGAAGACGCCUAUCAUGCUGCCGGGGUGGGUGCAGACGGACACCAACGUCAUUGAGGAGACACCCUUCAGCCAGUACAGCCAGAUGGACUCAUUCGCCCCCGAUGCCCGUCUCCCUGGGCUCCCCUCCCCACACAAGAUCGUGGGCAGCUUCAUGCAUAAGGCUGUGUCCCCCAAUAUAAAGAAGUCCCCCGCCAAACUGCCACCUCCUGAUGUCCGGCCUGUCGGUUCCGCCAAGAAGAAGCUCUCUGUCAACGACUUCAAAGAGGAGGACUUUGUGAUCAUCAAGACGUCUCCCAAGAAGAAGCGAGUUUUAACAGAGCACCAGAAGGAGGUGAUGAAGGAGAGGAGGACAAUCCCGGUGAUGUACAACAACCUUGACCUCUCCCAGGACGUGUCGCUCAUGGCCUCGCAGUUCAACACUGACACACAGCAGGAUUCCAUCAUGAUGCAGACACAGCCACCGUCGGAAGAUUCAGUCAUAGUCAUAAAUUCAAGCCAGUCACAAAACCUCGAACACGACAAGAGUAAAUCCUCUGUGCCCAAAUCUUCAAGCACGGAGUCUCUUGCGGAUGAUCCCACGUCUGAUGUGAAGAGAGGACGCAGGCGACGGUCAGUCCGAUUCAGCAAUGAUGACAGCCAGGAGAAGGAGGGAGAGAAGGCGGAGAUGAAGAGCCCCCCCAGUGCAACCCCAACUCUCCGGUCACUCAGGUCGAGGAAGGAUACAAAACAGUCUGACGAGGAUCAGAAGUCAAAUGAGAAAGAACUGACAUCAACAGAAAAGAAAUCCACCAAGAUUGAUUGUGAAAAUUCAAAAGAUAAGGAGGCUGACAAAGAUUCAAGAUCAAAAGUGACUAAAGAUGCUGAGUUGGUCAGUUCAAGCGUUAAUAUCGACUCCAGUGACCCCUCACCGAGUCCCUCCUUGAAGCAGAACCUCAUGCACGCGCUCGGAGAUCAGUGGUUGAAUACCCUGAAAAGUACAUCAAGUUCGUCCCUGGGGAAAAGUGAUUCUUCAGAGGAGAGCAGAUGUGGGGAAGAAUCGGUGAGAGAAUCGGGGAAUUCUACAAGCAGCUCCCAGAAUUCACAGGAAGGAAGUGGGGAACAUUUCAGUCCAUUCAAGUCAAUCAGUCAGUCGCCACCUGAACGGAAGUCAAGGUCACCGGGGAGGAAGACUCUCAGCCAGGAGGUGACAAGUUCCGCGAAAUCACCCACUAGGAGCCGGGAUCGUAGUAAAAGUUCUCAAGCUGGUAGCUUAGAUAAAUGGUUGGUGAAGUCGCCAGCCAAAGGUAAAAGUUGUGUGAUAGAUGCCAAGUCUCCGGAGGACUCAUUCGUUCCAGAUACUCAGUUGUCGACCACAAUGGAGGUGUCCCUGUUACACUCUGUAGUUGAAGAUACAAUGUCUCCUUCGAAGGGCAAGCAUAUGGCAAACAAGUCGUCACACUCAUUCGUUGAAGACACACAGUCUCCCUCAAAGUUUAGUCAAAAGAAUUUGUUCUCCCCAGAUAUUAAUGCUUCGAUUGAGGAGACUCCAGUAAAAGAUUCAUCCAAUAUUCUGCCCGGUCCGUUAUCACUACCCUCAAGUCGCAACUUGUUCGGGGAAUGUGACAAGGUUGCAAGUCAGGACCAAGAAUCGGAUGACAAAGAGACGGACGUUAAGCUCGGCACGCCUGUUUUGAAAAUCAAGAAGCUGACAACUGAAGAGAUCAGUGUGCUGUCCCAUGGAUCUCCCGAAAAGGCAGUGUCAAAAGCUCUGUUCAAAGAACCGUUGUCAGUUUGUGAAGGUGGCACGUCGGAAGGCAAGGAUGUUCCGUGUUCUCAAGGGUUUCCGACAGCAGAGACAAGUGAGGACCAGGAAACUAUGGAAUCCCAGUUCAGUCCUGUGUUUCCAAGGAUAUCGAGUGAGAGACCAGACUCUCAGAUAUCUAUCAAUUCUGAUCCUGAGUUGCCUGGCAUUUUGAGCUUUGGACAAAGAGAGGAGUUGAUAAAUGCAUCAAGUUCAUCCUCAAACUACAGCGUCAGUGUCCUCAAUGCCGAUUCGGUUAAAAGUAGUUCUCAAGAUUCUGCUUCUCAAAAUUCUGGGUUAUCCAAAGACAAAGAGGUGGGUCUGGACGCAGGGGACAAAUUUACAGAAGAGCUGUUCGAAACAUGUCCAACUGACACAGUGGAUGCAUACAACCCGGACUCAGUAUCUACUUUGAAGGAAGGGUCAUCCCAGAGUACGACAGAUUCAAGCAGCUCUCAGAGCACCAGCUCCAGCCAGAGCUCACAAGCAAGUGCAGUGGAGACUGUUCUGUCUGAAGGGUCGUACAAGGUCGACCUUGUGUCCACUCUGGCUGAAGAGCCUGCGUCAAGGAGGAGGAAGCAGGAUACGCCGAAGAAGAUGGGUCUGGAAGAUUUGAGGAGGACUCCGAGACAGAGGAAGAAGAAGACGUUCGAUGGUUUUGAGGUUGAUGGAAUCUCCAAGUCUGAGAGUUCGACUGAGAGUACUGCUUCCAGAAAGGUUGGUAGACCACCUAGUGCGAAGAAGAGGCUGGAGAAGUCUUCUGAGGAUAAUGAGAGCUCUCAGGAGAAGGGUGCUGAGAAGGAGGAAGAUGUGUUGGUAAAUGGAAAAGAGGAAGUGAAGAAGAAGGUUGGACGACAAAGAAAAGGAUUGAAAGAAAUUGACCAGAGUGACAGUUCUCAGGAGAAGAUUGUUGAGAAAGAGGAAGAUCUGUUGCUUAUUGGGAAUGAGGAGAAGGGGAAGAAGAAGGGUGGACGACGAAAAGUUGAUAUUUCUAGUUCACAGUCAGGGGAGGACAGUCAGGAAAAGAAUGAACCCAGAAGAGGAAGAAAACGAAAAGCUGAUGAGGAAGAGGAUGAGGAAGAAGAUGAUCUUCCUCUUUCUCAACUUAGUCAAUCAAAGUCCGCAUCGAAGAGGCAAGGAAGAAGUAAAACUGAUUCAGAGGAAGCUGAAGAGAAGACAAAAGAAGCACCCAAGAGGAAGAGAACGAGGAAGAGCCUAGCUGCUGAGAUGACAGAGUCUGAAAACCUUGAGUCUCAAAGGAGGAAGUCACAGAGUAGCCAGGAGUCCGUGGAUGUAUUGGAUCAGGAGAAAGCUGAUUUGGGCCAGGACUGUAAGCAGAAGGAAGGGGUCGAUUCUAUCGCUGAUGUUGAUGGGGAGACCAAAUCUGAUUCCCAAUUGAAGCAGGCUAGGAAUCCAGUUCAGGCUGUGACUGCAGCCUGUCUAGGAAGCUCUAGUUCCAGUUCUGGAGGUGAUGCUUCUGCUCCCUCUCAGGGAAAGAAACCGAGAAGGAUUCAACCCCAGAUGGUUGAACCGAGUCAGGAAAUGAUUCAUCCUGCAUUUACAGGUGCUCCAAAAGACUCACCAAUUAUUUUGGAGGAAAACCUGAGCGAGAAUCCUGAAAGUACUGAUUCAAAGGAGAGUGAUAGACAGACAGAGGAAAGUCAACAAGGAACAGAAGUUAUUAUUGUAGGAAUGGAGUUUGACAGUUCUAAAUCUCUAAAUGAGCAGACACCAGAAGAAUGCCAGAUGUCUAGUGAGGACAUUUCCAAGGAGGGAGAGCAGACGCCAUCUACCAAGCCGUCCCCAGCCCCUGUAAGGCGGAGUACCACCAAACAGAAGAUUGAAGCCGCAAGGAAAAGGUCAAUUUCCAAAAUGUCAGACAAAAAUUCGGAGGAUUUGAGUGUCGAAGAUGCAAAUGAAUGGACGGAGAGCAAAUGCAGCGCGGCAAAAACAGCUCUGAUACAGGAAAAGAAGAAUAAGGAUAUCAAAGAAAGUGAUAAACUUGACAGUCAGAUAGAUGUUAUUGAGCCGUCACAGGCUCAGAAUAAGUCCCUGUUUGUUAAUCUGGACCUGUCGUUUUGUAAGGACUCGCCUCGGGCAGUGGAGCAUGACAAAAUCAAGGGGAAGGUGGAUGAGAUAAUAAGUAGUUUGGCAAGCCCAGUAGCCCCCGGCAAGGCAGCUCCUCGGGGCAGUAAACGAAAGAGGAACAUGUCGAAGUUGAAAGUGUCCUCUCCGGUGAGUGUACGACUGCGGUCCUCGAAACUGGUUCUACGAGCAAGAGCCAAAUUAGCAGGUAAAUCUGUGUCCAGGGUUUCACCUUUAACUGUGGUUAGAACAAAGAACAGAGCAUCUCCCAGACCGAAGAGACUUUUGGAAGAAAUAGAUUCAAAAAUAGAAAUGGAAGUUGAGGACACAAAAUGUACAUUUAAAACAGAGGAUGCAGAUGGUGUGACUAGCAAUUGUGAUGUGGUUGCCAUGGCAACAGUUGAUAAUUCUGGUAGUGCUGUAGAAACUGAAAGUGGUUUGGAACAAAUUGAAAUUGGUUCAGAAAAAACUGAAAUUGGUUUAGAGCAAGAUAAAACUGUUUCCCCAAAAAAAUUAACUGGUUUAGAGCAAAAUGAAACUAGUUUAGAAAAAGAAACUAGUUUAGAAAAAGAAACUUGUUUAGAAAAAGAAACAAGUUUAGAAAAAGAAACUGAUUUAGAAAAAAAUGAUACUGGUUUUGGUGCAACUGAAACCGGUGGUGAUAUAACAAGUCAUGCUAGUGCUCCUGUUCGACCCAAGAUUGAUUCUCUAAAUGAUACCCCAAGGAAAUCAGCCGAAAAACCCAAACGCAAAGUGAUCCAUGCCCAUCGUGGCUUUUCCGAUUCCAAAGUGCUGAGCUUGAACAAAAUCCGGGCAAGGAACCGGUUGGCUGAUCGUGGAAUGAGUAUCGUGAGGCGCAGUAUACUGAAGCAAAAGAAUUCGAGCGAAAACAGCAGCCCCUCAAAGAGGCCAUGUGACCCUGACUUUCAGCCAAUCAAAGUGUUCCAGUUUCAUUCACCGAGUGCCUCCCCGAGCGCUGGGAUUCUGAAGAAGCGGCGCCUGAACUCCGACAUCCCAGUCAACUCUCCCUCCCCACCUUCCAAGCGGCGGGUUUCGUUUGCCGAGCCUAUCAUCAGCGGAGAAAGCCCUCAUCGUGGUGUCAGCCUUGACCUCAUCAAGUCCCGGAGUGCAGCAGGAAAGCAACUGUUCACUUUCCCCCGAAGACCUGCCAGCAGCCUGCGUGUCAUCGCCCCACUCAGCAGACCCAAGAAGACGGUUGUGGACAGUGGAGACUCACAGCCCAGCCAGUCACCGGUCAGCCAAUCACCGGUCAGCCAAUCACAGGCAAGCUACCGGAGCACGCAGGAGUCGCAACUGAACAGCUCCGACCCCGUCUACCCGGAUUUGAUUGGCUGCACCGAGUCCGUCACAAAGGUUCUGCCCCAACUGACGUCAUCUGUCUGGUCGCGCGGUCUGGGGCAGCUCGUGAUGGCACGCAACAUCCACACUGUUGGAGAUCUCAGCAAACUGACAGAGGUCGACAUCCACAAUCUCCCUAUCAGGUCACCAAAGGUCGUCACUGUGCGCAGAGUUCUGCAUGACCUUGAACAGCACCUUGAGGUCAAAAGGUCAAAGGAUGUCAAGGCCACAGAUUCGGAGUCGGAUCAAGAGGACAAGGCUGAAAGUGCAGUUUUCAAAGUACCGAGCGUGACCCCCAUGCAGUCACUGGAUACAAUAGAGGAGGACGGCGAGACGGAAACGAAGGAGCCCCGUGAGGAGGAACCCGACUCCCUCCCUGACAUGGAGGUCGCUCUUGAUGAACUCGUGCCCAGAAACGCGGAUGACGAACUUAACAGCAGUAUUGAAGCGGAGCCUGAAGGGACAGUGGAGAGUGCAAUCGAGUCAUGUGACCAACCAAAUAGCCAAUCACAGAGCACAGCCAGUUCUAGCCAAUCAGAUUCAGUGUUUCUAACAGACUCAGUAGCCGAUGCCCAAAGAGGGCCUACACAGACUCUGGAACUUGUUUCAACUGCUGUCAGUGCUGAAGAUCAUGGUGCCAAUCUUGCAAAGGUUCUGGAAUCUCUUGUGAAAGAAAAUGACUAUAAGCGUCUCCAGAAGAUGAGGACUGGAGACCUCUUCCAGGUUCAUCAGCACCUCACACAUCUGUCAAACAUUGUUGUCACGGCGAUGAAGAGUCGAUGCCAUUCGCCCACUAAUUCCCAGUGAGUCGUUGAUACUGGGGAUCGGGGGGUUAGGAUGACCGGAAAAGCAACUUCGCAUCACUAACCAGUCUUCAGAUGACAGGAUGGUUUGAUGGACAACGAGCUCAACUAUCGUAUUAUAUUAUGCCAAAUCUUUCACAAAAGUACACAUGGAGUCGCGACCAAGGUUACAAGAAUUGUAUCAGAACAGAAUUAAUUGGUUAUUAUGUUGAAAGUAGUUCUAAAGUGAUUUUUCUUACGGUGCAAGAUUCAAAAUAUGUUUAUAUAUUUUUUGUCAGAUUGGUCAUUGACUGUUGUUGAAAUACAAGACCAACAAAGGACAACCUGGAUAUUCAGUUCUAUACAUGGACCCAUUCGUUACACACGUUUGUUUGAAAGUGACAACACCGUUGCCAAUAUUCUAAUCUGUGGCAGAUUAUCCCUGGCACAGGAGUGUGAUUUGAUGCAAGGCUAUUUCAAGGAUGGCAUGACAGUAUAUAGGUCAAAUGAUUGAAACACUGGUAUGACAGUAUAUAGGCCAAAUGAUUGAAACACUGGUACAUAGUGCCAAAGGGGGCACCUGUUGCCCACUCAUCUAGGGCACCUGUGUUCACUGUGCAGAGUUACAUCCCUUUGGUGUGCCAGGAACCUAUGAUAAUUUGCCCUAAGGUUUGUUGCACCAUGUCGGUGAUUGUGUGUUUAAUUAAAGUGUAAACGUCUAAGACCUGCAUCACUUUGGCUUUCCACCCACCUUUAGCUGACUCACUGUGACAAAACUGAAAUACUGUCCAAAACGGCCUCAAACCUCCCAACUUUAGCAAUGUAGAUUGGUGCUCACACUAUCAACCACUGGUUUUGUCAGGAUUUAGUCUCCUCAGUGGAUUGAUUCACCAGACAUUUAUUCACUGUUCAGGGUUAGAACUAAACUCAAAACGUUUUACUAGCCCGAUAAAUAUAACUUGCACUGUUAAAACAAGGUGGAAAUUGUGAAUUUGUACUAGCCCACAGCAAUUUGUGCUAGCCUCAGACUAGCGGGUAGUGUUAAAUCUAACCCUGCAGUGUUGAUGAUAUUUCAAGAUUUAAUGUACCGUUAUUUAUUGGAGUGAUUUUAAUAGUUUUAAUCUUAGUUCUGUGGUCGGCAUGAAACGUCCAUCAGACGAAGGAGGACUUUUCAGUUGCAUGUCUUUGUCAAUCAUGAUUCUGGAGAGUUAAGUGGAUUUAAGAAGAAUUAUUUUCAUCCAGUUUUUUUUUCUAUCAAUUUUGAUACAGGUUAAGAGGAAUAAAUAUGCAUCAUUAGAAAUAUUUAUUAGAUGUGUGGGCGAUACCUUCAAUGCUUCUCUGGUUUCUAUGCACCAUGUUCCUCCAUCGCGAGUGAAAACAUGGCCGCUGUGAAGAGUACUCGUGGUAAGCAUACCUGACUUUAGUGUCGUAAUGAAAUCAGACCACAUACAGUGUAUAGCCUCUACUGGUGUGAGUGCCACCAUCUCCUGCCAUGAGGGACUGACCAGGUCAUAUUCUGGGGAGGGCUGGGUGUGGGGGAAUUUUAUCGGGAAAAAGAAUUUGUCUGCCACAGAAAGUACAUUGUUACAAGAGGAUCAUAAUUGAAAACAUUAAUCAGCUGUUGAUGAAUAACUAUCUGGUCGAAAUCCCUAGCCCAAGGAUAUCAAAUAGUCAGUCCCUUCAGUACUGUAUUGAGCAGAUGGCUGUAAGGCUUGGCACAUAUUGCACAGUUGUUGAUUGAUUGAUUGAUUGAUUGACAUGCUGGGUCCAGGACUUGAUUGAUUGAUUGAUUGAUGGACAUGCUGGGUCCAGGACUUGAUUGAUUGAUUGACAUGCUGGGUCCAGGACUUGAUUGAUUGAUUGAUUAAUUGAAGUACAUGAUGGGUCCAGGACUUGAAUGAUUGAUUGAUUGAAGUACAUGCUGGGUCCAGGACUUGAUUGAUUGAUGGAUUGAAGUACAUGCUGGGUCCAGGACUUGAUUGAAUGUUGAUUGAAUCUUUUCUUAUUCUUUUGUGAGAUUCCAAUGUUCCUGACAGAGGACGGGUGAUAAGGAACAGUGUAUACACCUGUGAAGUGCUGACCAUAUGUGGCCAAGUCCGUUUUGAACCUGGACUGACCCUUGGCGUUGGAUCUAGGUGGAGACCUGAGACCAUUUCAUUCAGAAUCGAGUGGAAAACUUCAUGGAAUAACUAAAGAAAACCCGCUCUGAAAUUCUUUUCACUAAGGAAAACAAAUAUAGUUUUCUGCUAUUUUUGAUUGGUAAGCAAGUGUUAAACAUUCCAAUUGCCCUUGGGAAAUAUUUGCAGCCACAUGUGCAAGUUAAUUAUUCACUGAUUCCCCGAGGAAGUAAUGGGGUUCUCUGUCAUGGUGUCAGGGUGUGAAGACUGUUGGUCAGGGUGUGAAGACUGUUGGUCAGGGUGUGAAGACUGUUGGUCAGGGUGUGAAGACUGUUGGUCAGGGUGUGAAGACUGUUGGUCAGACUGUUGGUCAGGGUGUGAAGACACAAUAAGUGUCCAAUUAUCCAUGAUAAUUCUUGCUUUUGUUCACACUUUUCAUUGUUUUAUCAUUUUCAUUGUUUUUAAUCACAAAAGCCACAAUUUCAGAGAAAAUCAUCUUUUACAGAUCAACUUACAUUGAAAGUGAUUUUGCUUGUGACGAAUGGCACAAGGACAUUCUUGUGAUUUUAUAAACUUUGCACAGGCCAUCCUGUAGGACAAUGAACCAAUCUGAAACCCUGCAUUAAUAUCAAAUUUAAGCUUAACUACAUCAACUCUGUGAUGAAGUCUUUCACAGGCAUUUAGAAGUUGGAAGUACAGGAAUACAUGCCAUGUUUUCAUGGAUGACAACUGCCUUGUUCCUGGUCCUGUACCGUGUCCAAAGUUGUGGCCAAGAUACACUAAGAAAGACAUUGAAGUAUGAUGCUGUCCAUAGCCACAAUCAAUCAUUUAGUGAGGAAGAACCACCAUAUUUUAUUACCAUUCAUCCUACUAGAACUUGAUUUUACCCAUUUCACAGCAUUGAAGUGCUGAGUAUUGAUUUGAGUGCUGAUUAUAUCAACAUAUUCACAUUUCUUUCAGUGAUGGUAACCUCAUUAAGUGAGAUUGGGAUACUGAAACAUUUCAUAGUGUGAUGUUUUGUUUUUGGUCGUUUAUUGUUUAACGCACUCAGCAAUAUUCCAGCUAUAUGACGGUGGUCUGUAAAUAAUUGAAUCUGGGCCAGACAAUCCAGUGAUUUACAUCCUGAGCAUCGA